GUUGCAGUUAAAAAGCUCGUAGCCGACUCUCGGGGGGGCUGUAACGGUCCGCAGAAAUGUGAGCACUGUUGUGGUCGCCUCUUCCUUCUGGACACCAUGUCUUCUCUUAACUGAGCGGAUGUGGGGGCCAGAUCGUUCACUUUGAACAAAUUAGAGUGUUCAAAGCAGGCCUCCGCCUGAAUACUUGAGCAUGGAAUGAUAUCAAUAGGUCCUUCCUCCCCGUUUAUUGGUGAUGGGGAGGAAGGAAAUGAGAAAGGGGAAUGGUUGGGGCCAUUCGUACUGCAGCGUUAGAGGUGAAAUUCUUGGAUCGCUGCAAGACGAACAACAGCGAAAGCAUUUGGCAAGAACGUUUCCACCGGUCAAGAACGAAAGUUAAGGGAUCGAAGACGAUCAGAUACCGUCGUAGUCUUAACCAUAAACUAUGCCGACUAGAGAUCGGUGGAUGUUAUUCUAUGACUCCAUCAGCAUCUUAUGAGAAAUCAAAGUCUAUGGGUUCCGGGGGGAGUAUGGUCGCAAGGCUGAAACUUAAAGGAAUUGACGGAAGGGCACCACCAGGAGUGGAGCCUGCGGCUUAAUUUGACUC
Molecule: ribosomal RNA, 583 nt
Filed under: uncultured marine eukaryote
Lineage: Eukaryota
Description: SSU rRNA
Rfam family: Eukaryotic small subunit ribosomal RNA
Source: RNAcentral